This 698-nucleotide long non-coding RNA is filed under the name Homo sapiens (human). Its description in RNAcentral is "long non-coding RNA NONHSAT248072". The record is from RNAcentral. Lineage: Eukaryota; Metazoa; Chordata; Mammalia; Primates; Hominidae.
GCCUGGGACUCCACGCUGCACACCGUGCCUUCACAUUGGCCUCUCGUCCUCAGCCCAUCUAGCCCCCAAAGGGUCCCAUGAGGACCCCCCAGGUGUCCAUGGCUGUUCUACCCCUGAACCUUGACCCUUGAUCGUGACCCCAGUCCAGGCGAAGCAGAACUCGAGCAGAAUGAGUUGUCUGUGGCUGGGACGGGAGAUGCCUGUGGCUCCCUGCUAUGCCUCCCUCCUGUGCCCCUACACCCGGCCUUGCCUGGCUCAGGACAGGGUGGCCAUCCCCACUGUCCCGAGGAUGCAGCCCCCACCCCAGCUCCACUCGCUCUGUGGGCAGAGCCAGGUUUGGGGCCGACACGCGCUUUCUCUCUCCCGUCAGCUGCCUGCCCUGGGGUGAGUGGUAAGUGGUGACCGCAGGCGGCUCUGCCUGCCAAGUGGGUCACGAAGCCCCGAGUGUGUCCUUGCCCCCAGCCACGGCCGGCCCCUGUGCCGCUGCCCACCCUGUGUCUGCACCCAGCCUGUGUGUCUCCUGUUGCCCAGCCUUCCCCGCUGUGGGGGCCCCAGCCUCCUGUCGUAGGGUCCCUAGCCUCCUGUCGUAGGGAUCCCAGCCCUGAGCCCGCUGUGUCUAGAUCCCUGGGUACUGUUUCUUGGGGUUGUGUGUGGGGAGAUGGACUCUGUCCUGUGGUCGAGGGACGCCGCGUGCCACC